This 1024-nucleotide long non-coding RNA is filed under the name Betta splendens (Siamese fighting fish). Its description in RNAcentral is "lncRNA (ENSBSLG00000014305.1)". The record is from RNAcentral. Lineage: Eukaryota; Metazoa; Chordata; Actinopteri; Anabantiformes; Osphronemidae.
GCUCAAUGCACCCUAAAAGCACAGUUACACUUGCCGUGGUUUAAACUACUGUUCUUAUGUCCUGAAAAGCUCAAAAACGAUUAUUUAGUAUUUCUGCAUUGCUUUCCAUCAGAACAGCCUCUACUUGUCAUGUUUUGAUGCCAGGCUAAUUUAAAACAGCUCAAUGCACCCUAAAAGCACAGUUACACUUGCCGUGGUUUAAACUAGUGUUCUUAUGUCCUGAAAAGCUCAAAAAAGAUGUUGUAGUGUUUCUGCAUUGGUUUCGAACAAUACAGCUUAAGAUGGUCAUGUUCUGAUGCCAGGCAACUUUAAAACAGCUCAAUACACCAUAAAAGCACAGUUACACUUGCCGUGGUUUAAACUAGUGUUCCUAUGUCCUGAAAAGCUCAAAAAAGAUGUUGUAGUGUUUCUGCAUUGGUUUCUAUGAGAUCAGCCUCUACUGGUCAUGUUCUGAUGCCAGGCAACUUUAAAACAGCUCAAUACACCAUAAAAGCACAGUUACACUUGCCGUGGUUUGAACUACUGUUCUUAUGUUCUAAAAAGCUCAAAAACGAUGUUUCACUGUUUCUGCAUUGGUUUUUAGGUAUACAGUUUGUAAUGGUCAUGUUCUGAUGCCAGGCAACUUUAAAACAGCUCAAUACACCAUAAAAGCACAGUUACACUUGCCGUGGUUUAAACUAGUGUUCUUAUGACCUGAAAAGCUCAAAAACAAUGUUUUAGUGUUUCUGCAUUGCUUUCCAUCAGAACAGCCUGUACUGGUCAUGAUUUGAUGCCAGGCAUCUUUAAAACAGCUCAAUACACCCUAAAAGAACAGUUGCAGAUGCCAAGGUUUAAACUAGUUUUCUCCUGGCCUGACAAGCUCAAAAACGAUGUUUUAGUGUUUCUGCAUUGGUUUCCUGCAGAACAGCCUCCAAUGGUCAUGUUCUGAUUCCAGAAUACUGUCAAAAAGCCUAAUGUAUCCUAAAUGUACUGUUGCAUAGGCCGUGGUUUAAACUAGUGUUUCUAAAUCCUGAAAAGCUCAAAA